This 448-nucleotide ribosomal RNA is filed under the name uncultured bacterium. RNAcentral describes it as "SSU rRNA". It matches the Rfam family "Bacterial small subunit ribosomal RNA", at positions 26 to 518 of the family's 1533-position model. The record is from RNAcentral.
AGAACGAACGCUGGCGGCAGGCUUAACACAUGCAAGUCGAACGCUCGUAGCAAUACGGGAGUGGCAGACGGGUGAGUAACGCGUGGGAACAUACCCUCCGGUUCGGAAUAGCUCAGGGAAACUUGGAUUAAUACCGGAUACGGCCGAGAGGCGAAAGAUUUAUCGCCGGAGGAUUGGCCCGCGUUCGAUUAGCUAGUUGGUGAGGUAACGGCUCACCAAGGCGAUGAUCGAUAGCUGGUCUGAGAGGAUGAUCAGCCACAUUGGGACUGAGACACGGCCCAAACUCCUACGGGAGGCAGCAGUGGGGAAUAUUGGACAAUGGGCGCAAGCCUGAUCCAGCCAUGCCGCGUGAGUGAUGACGGCCUUAGGGUUGUAAAGCUCUUUCGCUCGGGACGAUAAUGACGGUACCGAGAUAAGAAGCCCCGGCUAACGUUCGCGCCAGCAGCGC